RNAcentral lists this ribosomal RNA (253 nucleotides) under uncultured bacterium. RNAcentral describes it as "partial 16S ribosomal RNA". It matches the Rfam family "Bacterial small subunit ribosomal RNA", at positions 524 to 776 of the family's 1533-position model. The record is from RNAcentral.
UACGUAGGGGGCGAGCGUUGUCCGGAUUUAUUGGGCGUAAAGAGCUCGUAGGCGGCUGUUCAAGUCGAACGUGAAAACUCGGAGCUCAACUCCGAGCCUGCGUUCGAUACUGGGCGGCUAGAGUCUGGUAGGGGGACCUGGAAUUCCUGGUGUAGCGGUGAAAUGCGCAGAUAUCAGGAGGAACACCGAUGGCGAAGGCAGGUCUCUGGGCAUUAACUGACGCUGAGGAGCGAAAGCAUGGGGAGCGAACAGG